This is a non-coding RNA of Miniopterus natalensis, 204 nucleotides long. Lineage: Eukaryota; Metazoa; Chordata; Mammalia; Chiroptera; Miniopteridae. The record is from RefSeq and is a predicted model, not a curated record.
ACAAUAUAAACUUCAGAAUCAGAGGAUAGCAGUCCAGAUCGACGGAACUCUGCAAGGAUCGCUCUCAGGAAGCUCUGUUCCAUGACGGAGGAAUUUCUUAAAGAAAAUGAAGACGUGAAUUAUCGAGUACCCAGCACAGGACCUCACACUGACAGAUGCUCAGCAAAGAAUUGUCGACUAUUUUGCUGCCCUGAGGAUGACUUA